This 370-nucleotide ribosomal RNA is filed under the name Babesia odocoilei. RNAcentral describes it as "SSU rRNA". It matches the Rfam family "Eukaryotic small subunit ribosomal RNA", at positions 475 to 900 of the family's 1831-position model. Lineage: Eukaryota; Apicomplexa; Aconoidasida; Piroplasmida; Babesiidae. The record is from RNAcentral.
AAAUAACAAUACAGGGCAAUUGUCUUGUAAUUGGAAUGAUGGUGACCUAAACCCUCACCAGAGUAACAAUUGGAGGGCAAGUCUGGUGCCAGCAGCCGCGGUAAUUCCAGCUCCAAUAGCGUAUAUUAAACUUGUUGCAGUUAAAAAGCUCGUAGUUGAAUUUUUGCGUCACCGUGUAUCGACAUUGGUCGUUUAUCGGUUUCGCUUUUGGGAUUUCUCCCUUUUUACUUUGAGAAAAUUAGAGUGUUUCAAGCAGACUUUUGUCUUGAAUACUUCAGCAUGGAAUAAUAGAGUAGGACUUUGGUUCUAUUUUGUUGGUUUGUGAACCUUAGUAAUGGUUAAUAGGAACGGUUGGGGGCAUUCGUAUUUA